RNAcentral lists this ribosomal RNA (497 nucleotides) under uncultured bacterium. RNAcentral's name for it is "partial 16S ribosomal RNA". It matches the Rfam family "Bacterial small subunit ribosomal RNA", at positions 28 to 507 of the family's 1533-position model. The record is from RNAcentral.
GAUGAACGCUGGCGGCGUGCCUAAUACAUGCAAGUCGGGCGAACGGACGAGAAGCUUGCUUCUCUGAUGUUAGCGGCGGACGGGUGAGUAACACGUGGAUAACCUACCUAUAAGACUGGGAUAACUUCGGGAAACCGUAGCUAAUACCGGAUAAUAUUUUGAACCGCAUGGUUCAAAAGUGAAAGACGGUCUUGCUGUCACUUAUAGAUGGUUCCGCGCUGCAUUAGCUAGUUGGUAAGGUAACGGCUUACCAAGGCAACGAUGCAUAGCCGACCUGAGAGGGUGAUCGGCCACACUGGAACUGAGACACGGUCCAGACUCCUACGGGAGGCAGCAGUAGGGAAUCUUCCGCAAUGGGCGAAAGCCUGACGGAGCAACGCCGCGUGAGUGAUGAAGGUCUUCGGAUCGUAAAACUCUGUUAUUAGGGAAGAACAUAUGUGUAAGUAACUGUGCACAUCUUGACGGUACCUAAUCAGAAAGCCACGGCUAACUACGUG